CAGAGUUGCAAGACUCCCUAAACCAUUGUGAACCUACCUUCUACCGUUGCUUCGGCGGGCGGGCCCCAGCGCCCCCCCCGGCCCCCCCGCGGGCGCCCGCCGGAGGAUACCCAAACUCUUUGACAUUAGUGGCCUCUCUGAGUAUUCUUUACUGAAUAAGUCA
Molecule: unclassified non-coding RNA, 163 nt
Filed under: soil metagenome
Description: partial internal transcribed spacer 1
Source: RNAcentral